RNAcentral lists this ribosomal RNA (496 nucleotides) under uncultured bacterium. RNAcentral describes it as "partial 16S ribosomal RNA". It matches the Rfam family "Bacterial small subunit ribosomal RNA", at positions 29 to 507 of the family's 1533-position model. The record is from RNAcentral.
AUGCACGCUGGCGGCGUGCCUAAUACAUGCAAGUCGAGCGAACGGACGAGAAGCUUGCUUCUCUGAUGUUAGCGGCGGACGGGUGAGUAACACGUGGAUAACCUACCUAUAAGACUGGGAUAACUUCGGGAAACCGGAGCUAAUACCGGAUGAUAUUUUGAACCGCAUGGUUCAAAAGUGAAAGACGGUCUUGCUGUCACUUAUAGAUGGAUCCGCGCUGCAUUAGCUAGUUGGUAAGGUAACGGCUUACCAAGGCAACGAUGCAUAGCCGACCUGAGAGGGUGAUCGGCCACACUGGAACUGAGACACGGUCCAGACUCCUACGGGAGGCAGCAGUAGGGAAUCUUCCGCAAUGGGCGAAAGCCUGACGGAGCAACGCCGCGUGUGUGAUGAAGGUCUUCGGAUCGUAAAACUCUGUUAUUAGGGAAGAACAUAUGUGUAAGUAACUGUGCACAUCUUGACGGUACCUAAUCAGAAAGCCACGGCUAACUACGUG